UACAGAGGUCUCAAGCGUUGCUCGGAAUCACUGGGCGUAAAGGGUGCGUAGGCGGCCGUGCAAGUCUGGCGUGAAAGCCCCGGGCUCAGCCCGGGAAGUGCGCUCGAAACUGCGCGGCUCGAGUGCCGGAGGGGAGAGUGGAAUUCCUGGUGUAGCGGUGAAAUGCGUAGAUAUCAGGAGGAACACCGGUGGCGAAGGCGGCAUCCUGGACCACGACUGACGCUGAGUGAGCGAAAGCCAGGGGAGCAAACGGG
Molecule: ribosomal RNA, 254 nt
Filed under: uncultured bacterium
Lineage: Bacteria
Description: partial 16S ribosomal RNA
Rfam family: Bacterial small subunit ribosomal RNA
Source: RNAcentral